RNAcentral lists this ribosomal RNA (468 nucleotides) under uncultured bacterium. RNAcentral's name for it is "partial 16S ribosomal RNA". It matches the Rfam family "Bacterial small subunit ribosomal RNA", at positions 28 to 507 of the family's 1533-position model. The record is from RNAcentral.
GACGAACGCUGGCGGCGUGCUUAACACAUGCAAGUCGAACGGAAAGGCCCUGCUUUUGUGGGGUGCUCGAGUGGCGAACGGGUGAGUAACACGUGAGUAACCUGCCCUUGUCUUUGGGAUAACUUCAGGAAACUGGGGCUAAUACCGGAUAGAAGCUCCUGCUGCAUGGUGGGGGUUGGAAAGUUUCGGCGGUUGGGGAUGGACUCGCGGCUUAUCAGCUUGUUGGUGGGGUAGUGGCUUACCAAGGCUUUGACGGGUAGCCGGCCUGAGAGGGUGACCGGCCACAUUGGGACUGAGAUACGGCCCAGACUCCUACGGGAGGCAGCAGUGGGGAAUAUUGCACAAUGGGCGGAAGCCUGAUGCAGCAACGCCGCGUGCGGGAUGACGGCCUUCGGGUUGUAAACCGCUUUCGCCUGUGACGAAGCGUGAGUGACGGUAAUGGGUAAAGAAGCACCGGCUAACUACGUG